AGAGUUUGAUCCUGGCUCAGGACGAACGCUGGCGGCGGGCCUAAUACAUGCAAGUCGAACGCACUCGACCUUCGGGUCACAUGAGUGAGUGGCGAACGGGUGAGUAACACGUGAGAAACCUGCCCUGAAGACCGGAAUAACCCGAGGAAACUCGAGCUAAUGCCGGAUAUCCCCAUCUGGUCGCAUGGCCUAAUGAGGAAAUGUUCAGGCGCUUCAGGAGGGUCUCACGGCCUAUCAGCUAGUUGGUGAGGUAACGGCUCACCAAGGCAUCGACGGGUAGCUGGUCUGAGAGGACGAUCAGCCACACUGGGACUGAGACACGGCCCAGACUCCUACGGGAGGCAGCAGUAGGGAAUCUUGCGCAAUGGGCGAAAGCCUGACGCAGCCACGCCGCGUGAGGGAUGAAGGCUCUCGGGUUGUAAACCUCUUUCAGCAGGGACGAAAAUGACGGUACCUGCAGAAGAAGCUCCGGCCAACUACGUGCCAGCAGCCGCGGUAACACGUAGGGAGCAAGCGUUGUCCGGAAUUAUUGGGCGUAAAGAGCUCGUAGGCGGUUUAGUAAGUCAGGUGUGAAAACUCGAGGCUCAACCUCGAGAGGCCACCUGAUACUGCUGUGACUGGAGUCCGGUAGAGGAGUGUGGAAUUCCUGGUGUAGCGGUGAAAUGCGCAGAUAUCAGGAGGAACACCAACAGCGAAGGCAGCACUCUGGGCCGGUACUGACGCUGAGGAGCGAAAGCGUGGGGAGCGAACAGGAUUAGAUACCCUGGUAGUCCACGCCGUAAACGGUGGGCACUAGAUGUGGGAUCCAGUCAACGG
Molecule: ribosomal RNA, 816 nt
Filed under: marine metagenome
Description: bacterial SSU rRNA
Rfam family: Bacterial small subunit ribosomal RNA
Source: RNAcentral